UACGUAGGGUGCGAGCGUUAAUCGGAAUUACUGGGCGUAAAGCGUGCGCAGGCGGCUUGACAAGUCAGAUGUGAAAUCCCCGAGCUCAACUUGGGAACUGCGUUUGAAACUGUCAGGCUAGAAUAUGUCAGAGGGGGGUAGAAUUCCACGUGUAGCAGUGAAAUGCGUAGAGAUGUGGAGGAAUACCAAUGGCGAAGGCAGCCCCCUGGGAUAAUAUUGACGCUCAUGCACGAAAGCGUGGGGAGCAAACAGG
Molecule: ribosomal RNA, 253 nt
Filed under: uncultured bacterium
Lineage: Bacteria
Description: partial 16S ribosomal RNA
Rfam family: Bacterial small subunit ribosomal RNA
Source: RNAcentral